RNAcentral lists this ribosomal RNA (253 nucleotides) under uncultured bacterium. RNAcentral's name for it is "partial 16S ribosomal RNA". It matches the Rfam family "Bacterial small subunit ribosomal RNA", at positions 524 to 776 of the family's 1533-position model. The record is from RNAcentral.
UACGUAGGGUGCGAGCGUUAAUCGGAAUUACUGGGCGUAAAGCGUGCGCAGGCGGUUUUGUAAGCCAGAUGUGAAAUCCCCGGGCUUAACCUGGGAAUGGCAUUUGGGACUGCAAGGCUUGAGUGCGGCAGAGGAGACUGGAAUUCCUGGUGUAGCAGUGAAAUGCGUAGAUAUCCGGAGGAACACCGGUGGCGAAGGCGGCUUCCUGGACCGACACUGACGCUGAGGCGCGAAAGCUAGGGGAGCAAACGGG